Molecule: ribosomal RNA, 301 nt
Filed under: uncultured bacterium
Lineage: Bacteria
Description: partial 16S ribosomal RNA
Rfam family: Bacterial small subunit ribosomal RNA
Source: RNAcentral
CAGUAGCCGCGGUAAUACAGAGGGUGCAAGCGUUAAUCGGAAUUACUGGGCGUAAAGCGCGCGUAGGUGGUUUGUUAAGUUGGAUGUGAAAUCCCCGGGCUCAACCUGGGAACUGCAUCCAAAACUGGCAAGCUAGAGUAUGGUAGAGGGUGGUGGAAUUUCCUGUGUAGCGGUGAAAUGCGUAGAUAUAGGAAGGAACACCAGUGGCGAAGGCGACCACCUGGACUGAUACUGACACUGAGGUGCGAAAGCGUGGGGAGCAAACAGGAUUAGAUACCCGUGUAGUCCCUGUCUCUUAUAA